GAACUGAAGCGCUCAAGGGUAUCUCCUUGGAUAUGAAUAAAGUCAAUAGAGAGAUACACAUGAAUUCCAAUGCUUUCUCAAGGAUGCCUAAAUUGAGAUUCUUGAGAUUUUGUGGAGAUAAGAACAAAUGUAUGGUGUCUCAUUUGGAGGGUGUGCCAUUUCCUGAAGUGAGGCACCUCGAGUGGCCUCAAUGUCCUUUGAAAACGUUGAAUAUAUGUGCGGAGAAACUUGUUUCACUUAAAAUGCCUUGCAGCAAAGUCAAACAACUUUGGGAUGAUGUUCAGGUAUAUAUUUAUUCGAAAUUCUUUCGGUAAUAAAUUCUAAAUACAAUUGAUGCUAUAAUAAUAUAUGUGAUGGUGUCUGUUUAUUUAUAAAGAUAAUAAUAGUAAUAAUAAUUUUUUUUUUUGGGGGCACAGGAUCUUGUUAACUUAAAAGAAAUAGAUCUCAGUGGAUCCGAGUCAUUAACGAAACUUCCAGACUUGUCACGGGCCGAAAAUCUUAAGAUUCUGAGGUUAGACGACUGUUUAAGUUUGACGGAGACUCACUCAUCUAUUCAAUAUCUAAAUAAACUUGAAUUUCUUACUCUAGAAAUGUGCAAAAGCCUGACGAGUCUUCCAACUGGCAUUCAUUCGAAAUAUCUCAAGAUACUUAUGUUGUGUUUACUUGCUGGAGUGGGAGUGAGGAGUGUGGAUUCCUCCCACUCCAGCGUUUACUUACUUAAAAUGGGGAGGGAUUGGGAGUCUCACUCCGUGGGCCCCACCCAUUUUUGGAGUGGGGAGUGGGAGUGGGACUCCCAUUGGGGGAGGUGGGAGUGGGAAUCCACUCCCACCUCUCCCAUUUCUACCCUUUUUUUUAUUUUUUAUUUUAUAAUUAAUAAAAUAAAAUAAAUAAUAUUAUAUUUAUUUAAACAAUAAUAUUAUAUUUAUUUAAAUAAUAAUAUUAUAUUUAUUUAAAUAAUAAUAUUAUAUUUAACUAAAUAAUAAUUUACAUUGAUUCUAAGUUAAAAUUAUUUUAAAAUAAUAUUAUUAUAUUAAUAGAGAAUUAAUAAAUAUAAUAUUAUUAUAUUUAUUUUAAAAAUAAUAGUACUAUAUUUUAUUUAAUAAUAAUAAUAAAUACUUUAUUCUAAGAAAAUAUUAAUUUUAUACUAAAUAAUAUUAUAUUAUUAUUUUAUAUAAUAAUAAAUUUAAUAUAAUUAUAUUAAAUAAAAUAACAUUUCAUUUUAUAUUAAAAUUACAAUUAAUAAUUUAUUGUUCAUAAUUAAGAAUAUUAAUAAUUAUAAUAAAUUUACAAAUAUAAUAAAAUAAAUAUUAUUCAUUAAAUAUAUUUUUUAUUAGUUUUGUAAUUAAAAUUAUAAUUCUUUAAAUAAGGAUAAAAUUGUAAUUUGAAACUAUUUACUCCCAAUCCAAAACAAAGUAAACACAUAAAUUGGAUUCUGAUCUUCAUUCCAUGCUUCCAUUCCAGUGUAAGUAAACAACCUACUCCCACUUCCACUCCACACUCCCAAUCUUAGGAUUCCCACUCCCCAGGAUUCCUAAUCCAAUCCAAAAAGUAAACGCUACCUUAAUCUUUGGGGUUGUUCAAAUUUGAAUAACUUCCCAGAGAUCACAUCUUGUCAUAUAUGUAUUUUUGAGUUAGCAGAAGUUGGAAUCAAAGAACUGCCCUCAUCCAUCGAGUGCCUAUCCAAUCUGCGAGAACUACUUAUUAUGGACUGUUCUGAGCUUGAGAGCAUCUCGAGUAGCAUAUUUAAGUUGAAGUCUCUUAAAUCUAUUGUAAUCUCUCAUUGUUCAAAUUUUAAGAGGUUUCUAGAGAUCCCAUCUUGUAAUACAGAUGGAAGUACUGGAAUUGAGCGACUAGCAUCGUUUAAGUUGAAAUUAGAGGGAUGUUCAAGUCCUCAGAGUCUCCCAAUAAACAUGUUUUCGUUCAAAUCUCUUCCUUCUAUUAAAAUCAUUCAUUGCCCAAAUAUUGAGAGUCUCCCAAGCAGCCUAUGUAUGUUCAAAUCUCUGACAUCUCUUGAAAUCGUUGAUUGCCAAAAUUUCAAGAGAUUGCCUGAUGAACUUGGAAAUUUAAAAGCCUUGAAGAGGUUGACCGUUGAUGGAACUGCUAUAAGAGAAGUACCGGAAAGCCUCGGUCAGUUAGCCAUAUUACGUCGGUUGAAAUUGACUAACUGUUCAGGGCUUGAGAGCAUCUCGAGUAGCAUAUUUAAGUUGAAGUCUCUUAAGUUUAUUGAAAUCUCUAAUUGUUCAAAUUUUAAGAGGUUUCUGGAGAUCCCAUCUGGUAAUACAGAUGGAAGUACUAGAAUUGAGCGACUAGCAUCAUCUAAGUUGAUAUUGGAGGGAUGUUCAAGUCGCCAGAGUCUCCCAAUAGACAUGUUUUCGUUCAAAUCUCUUCUUUCUAUUAAAAUCGUUCAUUGCCCAAAUAUUGAGAGUCUCCCAAGCAGCCUGUGUAUGUUCAAAUCUCUGAAAUAUCUUGAAAUUGUUGAUUGCCAAAAUUUCAAGAGAUUGCCUGAUGAACUUGGAAAUUUAAAAGUCUUGAAGAGGUUGACCAUUGAUGGAACUGCUAUAAGAGAAGUACCGAAAAGCCUCAGUCAGUUAGCCAUAUUACGUUGGUUGAAAUUGACUAACUGUUCAGGGCUUGGGAGAAUCUCGAGUAGCAUAUUUAAGUUGAAGUCUCUUAAAUCUAUUGAAAUCUCUAAUUGUUCAAAUUUUAAGAGGUUUCUAAAGAUCCCAUCUUGUAAUAUAGAUGGAGGUACACGAAUUGAGCGACUACCAUCUUUUAAGUUGAGAUUGGAGGAAUGUUCAAGUCUUCAGAGUCUCCCAAGCAGCCUGUGUAUGGUAAAAAAUCUGACAUCUCUUAAAAUCAUUGAUUGCCAAAAAUUCAAGAGACUGCCUAAUGAGAUUGGAAAUUCAAAGUGCUUGACGGUGCUGAUAGUUAAAGGAACAGCUAUAAGAGAAGUACCAGAAAGCCUUGGUCAGUUAUCCUCACUAGAAAGUUUGGUACUAUCUAAUAACAAAUUAGAGAGAUUACCAGAAAGCUUCAAUCAGUUAUCCUCACUAGAAUAUUUGCAACUAUUCGAAAACAGUUUGGAGGGAAUACCAGAAUACCUGAGGAGUCUUCCAAGUAAGUUGACAUCGCUCAAUUUAUCUAUUGACUUGAGAUAUUGUUUGAAAUUGGACCCGAAUGAGCUCAGUGAAAUCGUCAAAGAUGGGUGGAUGAAGCAGG
This 3219-nucleotide long non-coding RNA is filed under the name Citrus maxima (pomelo). RNAcentral's name for it is "long non-coding RNA (CMAX_LNC001921)". Lineage: Eukaryota; Viridiplantae; Streptophyta; Magnoliopsida; Sapindales; Rutaceae. The record is from RNAcentral.